CUUCCGUCUUCAACCUCCAGACCCCGCCUCUCUCAGUCUCUUUCCUUCCCAUGGCUCCUCCGAAAAUUUUACUCUGCGGCGACGUUUUGGGCCACCUCAAGCAGCUCUUUAAACGAGUCGCUUCGGUAUACAUAUCUCUCUCUCUCUCUCUCUCUCUCUCUCUCUCUCUACCUCUGUAUCUUUUUUUAGCUCAACUAAUUUUCGAUUUCUGAUUCUUACUGAUUUAACUUGUUCUAGGUCAACAAAUCGGCGGGUCCGUUCGACGCUUUGUUCUGCGUGGGCCAGUUCUUCCCCGACUCGGCGGACCAGCUCGACGAGUUCAAUGACUACAUUGAAGGCCGGGCACAAAUUCCUCUCCCAACCUACUUCAUCGGAGACUAUGGCGUUGCAGCCACUAAGGUACUCUUGGCCGCAACGAAAGAUUCCGAGAACCAAGGCUUCAAAUUGGACGGCUUGAAGAUAUGCAACAAUCUCUACUGGUUGAAAGGCAGUGGCAAAUUUAAGCUCCAUGGUAUCAU
Molecule: long non-coding RNA, 518 nt
Filed under: Prunus dulcis (almond)
Lineage: Eukaryota; Viridiplantae; Streptophyta; Magnoliopsida; Rosales; Rosaceae
Description: sRNA ncRNA
Source: RNAcentral